GCUGUAUGUGAGUUCAAUAUAGGCUCCAAAGUCUGUUUUUGAACACACAGAAAGGCUGAAGUUAUCCUAGGAGGCAUUGUGAAACCUUUAAAAUAAAAGAAAAUUUAAAUAGAAUCAAUUUAAAUCAAUUUUACUUUUAAAAAUUUAAAAAUUCAUGUGCAGUACUUUUAAGAAAUGGGAAGAAUGCAAAAAUGAGCCAUCUGCAGCUUCCCAGAGAGACGACGAAACCCUGUUGUUCCUUGAACAGGGUAGGGAUGAGGCAGAAUCUAGACUGGCAGCAAACUGGAAAAAGCUGAAGUUUGCAUCCCAGUUCUACCCUUGAUUUACUGCCUGGUGA
This 337-nucleotide long non-coding RNA is filed under the name Rhinopithecus bieti (black snub-nosed monkey). Its description in RNAcentral is "lncRNA (ENSRBIG00000045915.1)". Lineage: Eukaryota; Metazoa; Chordata; Mammalia; Primates; Cercopithecidae. The record is from RNAcentral.